AGUGAACGCUGGCGGUAGGCCUAACACAUGCAAGUCGAACGGCAGCACAGUAAGAGCUUGCUCUUACGGGUGGCGAGUGGCGGACGGGUGAGGAAUACAUCGGAAUCUACUUUUUCGUGGGGGAUAACGUAGGGAAACUUACGCUAAUACCGCAUACGACCUACGGGUGAAAGCAGGGGAUCUUCGGACCUUGCGCGAUUGAAUGAGCCGAUGUCGGAUUAGCUAGUUGGCGGGGUAAAGGCCCACCAAGGCGACGAUCCGUAGCUGGUCUGAGAGGAUGAUCAGCCACACUGGAACUGAGACACGGUCCAGACUCCUACGGGAGGCAGCAGUGGGGAAUAUUGGACAAUGGGCGCAAGCCUGAUCCAGCUAUACCGCGUGGGUGAAGAAGGCCUUCUGGUUGUAAAGCCCUUUUGUUGGGAAAGAAAAGCAGCAGGUUAAUACCCCGCUGUUCUGACGGUACCCAAAGAAUAAGCACCGGCUAACUUCGUG
Molecule: ribosomal RNA, 492 nt
Filed under: uncultured bacterium
Lineage: Bacteria
Description: partial 16S ribosomal RNA
Rfam family: Bacterial small subunit ribosomal RNA
Source: RNAcentral